This 689-nucleotide ribosomal RNA is filed under the name Listeria monocytogenes. RNAcentral describes it as "partial 23S ribosomal RNA". It matches the Rfam family "Bacterial large subunit ribosomal RNA", at positions 408 to 1097 of the family's 2925-position model. Lineage: Bacteria; Bacillati; Bacillota; Bacilli; Caryophanales; Listeriaceae. The record is from RNAcentral.
CUGAGUACGGCGGAACACGUGAAAUUCCGUCGGAAUCCGGGAGGACCAUCUCCCAAGGCUAAAUACUCCCUAGUGACCGAUAGUGAACCAGUACCGUGAGGGAAAGGUGAAAAGCACCCCGGAAGGGGAGUGAAACAGUUCCUGAAACCGUGUGCCUACAAGUAGUUAGAGCCCGUUAAUGGGUGAUAGCGUGCCUUUUGUAGAAUGAACCGGCGAGUUACGAUUUGUUGCAAGGUUAAGCGGAAAAAGCGGAGCCGUAGCGAAAGCGAGUCUGAAUAGGGCGCAUAAGUAACAGGUCGUAGACCCGAAACCAGGUGAUCUACCCAUGUCCAGGAUGAAGGUAAGGUAAUACUUACUGGAGGUCCGAACCCACGCACGUUGAAAAGUGCGGGGAUGAGGUGUGGGUAGCGGAGAAAUUCCAAUCGAACUUGGAGAUAGCUGGUUCUCUCCGAAAUAGCUUUAGGGCUAGCCUCGAGGUAAAGAGUCAUGGAGGUAGAGCACUGUUUGGACUAGGGGCCCUUCUCGGGUUACCGAAUUCAGAUAAACUCCGAAUGCCAUGUACUUAUACUCGGGAGUCAGACUGCGAGUGAUAAGAUCCGUAGUCGAAAGGGAAACAGCCCAGACCACCAGUUAAGGUCCCCAAAUAUAUGUUAAGUGGAAAAGGAUGUGGGGUUGCUUAGACAACCAGG